RNAcentral lists this ribosomal RNA (484 nucleotides) under uncultured bacterium. RNAcentral describes it as "partial 16S ribosomal RNA". It matches the Rfam family "Bacterial small subunit ribosomal RNA", at positions 30 to 507 of the family's 1533-position model. The record is from RNAcentral.
AUUGAACGCUGGCGGCAGGCCUAACACAUGCAAGUCGAGCGGAUGAAGGGAGCUUGCUCCUGGAUUCAGCGGCGGACGGGUGAGUAAUGCCUAGGAAUCUGCCUGGUAGUGGGGGAUAACGUCCGGAAACGGGCGCUAAUACCGCAUACGUCCUGAGGGAGAAAGAGGGGGGUCUUCGGACCUCACGCUCUCAGAUGAGCCUAGGUCGGAUUAGCUAGUUGGUGGGGUAAAGGCCUACCAAGCCGGCGAUCCGUAACUGGUCUGAGAGGAUGAUCAGUCACACUGGAACUGGGACACGGUCCAGGCGCCUACGGGACGCAGCAGUGGGGAAUAGUGGGCAGUGGGCGAAAGUCUUGUACAGUCAGGCCGAGCGUGUUACGAAGACGUCGGGAUUGUGAAGCCGGUUAAGUUGGUAUGAACGGCAUUAAGUUGAUACCUAGCUGGAGUGACGUUACUAACAGAAUAAGCACCGGCUAACUUCGUG